RNAcentral lists this ribosomal RNA (601 nucleotides) under Staphylococcus epidermidis. RNAcentral's name for it is "bacterial SSU rRNA". It matches the Rfam family "Bacterial small subunit ribosomal RNA", at positions 78 to 662 of the family's 1533-position model. The record is from RNAcentral. Lineage: Bacteria; Bacillati; Bacillota; Bacilli; Caryophanales; Staphylococcaceae.
GCUUGCUCCCUCUGACGUUAGCGGCGGACGGGUGAGUAACACGUGGAUAACCUACCUAUAAGACUUGGGAUAACUUCGGGAAACCGGAGCUAAUACCGGAUAAUAUAUUGAACCGCAUGGUUCAAUAGUGAAAGACGGUUUUGCUGUCACUUAUAGAUGGAUCCGCGCCGCAUUAGCUAGUUGGUAAGGUAACGGCUUACCAAGGCAACGAUGCGUAGCCGACCUGAGAGGGUGAUCGGCCACACUGGAACUGAGACACGGUCCAGACUCCUACGGGAGGCAGCAGUAGGGAAUCUUCCGCAAUGGGCGAAAGCCUGACGGAGCAACGCCGCGUGAGUGAUGAAGGUCUUCGGAUCGUAAAACUCUGUUAUUAGGGAAGAACAAAUGUGUAAGUAACUAUGCACGUCUUGACGGUACCUAAUCAGAAAGCCACGGCUAACUACGUGCCAGCAGCCGCGGUAAUACGUAGGUGGCAAGCGUUAUCCGGAAUUAUUGGGCGUAAAGCGCGCGUAGGCGGUUUUUUAAGUCUGAUGUGAAAGCCCACGGCUCAACCGUGGAGGGUCAUUGGAAACUGGAAAACUUGAGUGCAGAAGAGGAAAGU